Non-coding RNA from Vicia faba (fava bean), 279 nucleotides. The record is from the annotation of a GenBank genome assembly. Lineage: Eukaryota; Viridiplantae; Streptophyta; Magnoliopsida; Fabales; Fabaceae.
AUGCCUAUACUAGGUUAUGUUAAAAUAUGUGAGAGCCAUGAGCUUCAUGGCCCAUGUAUGAGUGCUCAGGGUAUCCACAAACGGUCCUUUGGUCCGAAGCUGAUACAUGAACCAUUUGUACAAAAAUGGCACACAACACACCACAACUCCUUUCUUACCAUACCUGAAAUGGAUAGCAAAGUAAGUGCUUUCCAGGAUAGUCGGUACCAGAUUCAGAUUCAUGAACAUGCAAAUAGCUGCCAGAUCUACCAACUUCUCAACAUCAGGAAAAAUAAUUAG